UGGGGAAUAUUGGACAAUGGGCGCAAGCCUGAUCCAGCCAUGCCGCGUGAGUGAUGAAAGGCCCCUAGGGGUUGUAAAAGCUCUUUUCGCCAGGGACGAUAAUGACGGUACCUGGAUAAGAAGCCCCGGCUAACUUCGUGCCAGCAGCCGCGGUAAUACGAAGGGGGCUAGCGUUGUUCGGAAUCACUGGGCGUAAAGCGCACGUAGGCGGAUCUUUAAGUCAGGGGAUGAAAUCCCGAGGCUCAACCUCGGAACUGCCUUUGAUACUGGAGGUCUCGAGUCCGGGAGAGGUGAGUGGAACUGCGAGUGUAGAGGUGAAAUUCGUAGAUAUUCGCAAGAACACCAGUGGCGAAGGCGGCUCACUGGCCCGGUACUGACGCUGAGGUGCGAAAAGCGUGGGGAGCAAACAGGAUUAGAUACCCUGGUAGUCCACG
This 434-nucleotide ribosomal RNA is filed under the name uncultured bacterium. RNAcentral describes it as "partial 16S ribosomal RNA". It matches the Rfam family "Bacterial small subunit ribosomal RNA", at positions 355 to 799 of the family's 1533-position model. The record is from RNAcentral.